GGAGCUUAAUGGGCCAGAAGGGAAAUACGCAUUGACUUGUUAAUUAGAGAAGACACUUCCUUCAGCAUCCAGACCAAUCAAGGCCCGGGAGCUGGUUCUCAGGAUGGUGUUAUCCCUGGAAUUGCCACCAGAGGGGAGGCGUCUAUCAAUUUCAUAGCUUGCUACAGCGACAGCAGAGGGGCCCGCUCCAGGAGGCAGGCUUGGGCUGCCAAAGUCUGUAAAUAUCAACAGCCAGAUGGCAUCCCCUGGCAGGCUCAAAGGAUCUGAUCCUUGCCCCGAGGGAGCACAUGGUCCAGUACUGGAAGCAGACUGCCUGACAGCUAAAAAGCCAUUCCUGUGCUAUUAUGUCUUCUUCCUCUGACUGUGAAGUUCUGACAGAAAUGUGCCAUUGGCGUCAUCUUUAAGUAGUAACAUCCCUUUCUGUCUACCCCUCCUUCCUCCAAGCUUCUGUUUUCCAGGGGGCUAGCCCUGACCUCUCAGGUCUGACAUUUUAGAACCCUAAAAUAUCAAUAAUUCCAAAAAGCUGAAUGCCUUUCAUUUCUUACUUUAUUUUUAUAUUUUUGACAAAGACUAUCCCACCACAUCUCAUGACCCUCUCUGUACCUUCUUUCCACCAAAAAUACGGGGAGCACUAUUUCUCUCUGUGGCCACAGAAUCUCCUCUGUAAAAGGGGGUGAAUGACUCUUGCCUUAUACUGCCUUUCUCAACACAUUCUAUCACCAUCAUCACCCUGGGGUGGAGACCUUGGGCUUCUCUGAAUUUCCUCUUUUGUGGCCUCUUGUCUAGCCCAGCACUGUUGGCAGCAGAACAGAAAGAUGGAAGGAAUCUGGUCCUUUAGCCUCUGGACCAACCUUGACGCUGCCUAACUCUGUGCUCCAUGUUCCAUGGGCUAAUCAAAGUCGUCAUUAUUUGAGUUUGAGAUGGGCUUUCUGUUGUAUGCAGUUCAAAGUAGCUGGCUGAUAGUCACCAAGCCUUUGUGAGAAGGGUGGUAUACUGAAGAGGUAUGAAGGCAGCAGGAAUUUACAGGACGUGGAGAUGGCAGAACAUGAGGGGUGAGAGCAAAGGAACUGGCCUGGUCUCUCAGGUUAUCAGUGUAGUACGGCACUGUGACCAGCUCAGCUGGGGCUCAGACAUGCUCAGACACCUUCUCUGUUUCCCCUCUUCCCGUCUCCUGAGCUUUCACAUCUGUGGACGUACUUGCAGGUUUGUGCUGUGUCAAAACACCCCAACCAGUUAAAGGUAUCAUGGGAGGGCAGAGCAAGAAGGCGGCCAUCUAUAACCCAGACCCUUAAUGACUGAGCCCGGUCAGGGGGAAGAGGCAGGGAGAGAAAGGAUGAUGACCACAGGGGUGUGGUGUGCUAGCGCCGCCCCGUGGAUUGGCUUGGACAGCUGCUGGUAGAGGGGUGAAGGUCAGCAGCAAACAGGACCAGAGCUGCGGCCAUAAGCAGAGCCACCUCCGGGUUCACAGACAGUGUAGUAUG
Mirounga angustirostris (Northern elephant seal) is the source of this 1481-nucleotide long non-coding RNA. RefSeq lists it as uncharacterized. The transcript has 3 exons. NCBI's taxonomy places the organism in Eukaryota, Metazoa, Chordata, Mammalia, Carnivora, Phocidae. The record is from RefSeq and is a predicted model, not a curated record.